Quercus lobata is the source of this 4508-nucleotide long non-coding RNA. RefSeq lists it as uncharacterized. The transcript is spliced from 6 exons. The record is from RefSeq and is a predicted model, not a curated record. Lineage: Eukaryota; Viridiplantae; Streptophyta; Magnoliopsida; Fagales; Fagaceae.
CCCCACGAUUACGUAUUAGAUCUAGUGGGGGCAUCCCCAGUUAUUAGUCUCUGUAUCUCUCUUCCCCACAUUUCUUAUUUAAAUCCCUCUCUCUCCCAGAUAUUUUUUUCUCUCUCUUCACUUUCAUCACAUUCUCUCUAUCUCUCUUUCUUUCUCUCUCAACUUUUCUCAGCUUUCUCACAGUUUCUCUUUUAGGAUCCGUUUGGCUGCCGAGAAACCGUCGGAAAAUGACAGCGUAUAAAACACGUUGCUGGCCCUAGCUUAUAGCGGUUUCAUACUGAUUGGAAGAGAAGCGGAGUGUGUUGGAAAGGAAAGCAGAUAAGUAUAUAUCUUCAGCAACCAGGAACUUUUGAGGGAUGCUAGAGAAAUAAACGGAUAUGCAUAAGCAUGGACCUGGCAUACUAAAAGGAAAGAUUUAAUUUCUCUUGAUAUCUUACAUGGCAUCUCAUCUUUUAGGAUUCUUGAGCAAAGAGACUUUCGUAGGAUUUACAAAGUUUAUACUUUAUGGAGUGAAAGCUGUUUGGUACUUUGAAUUUGCAGUAUAUUUCCUUCUUCCUUCCUCAUGUACUUUUCCUGUUAUGUUUUGACAGAAAAUCUAUAUACUUCUGUAAGCAAUAUGUCUAUGUUUCUAGAUAUUGUCAUAGUUAAUGAAUAGGUGGGGCACACCAAUGUAUAGACUUCAGUAAGCAAUAUAUCUACAUUUCUGUCAGGUGAGUAGCAGUGGAUGAUUUUAUUUUAAAAAUCAUGAGUCAGUACUUCUGAUUGGUCACAUGUUUCCUGAAUUUUGGAGAAAUGCGUAUUUGGUGAUAAUAUUUAAAGCUGGAGGUUGGUGGUGUUUCACUCCAAACUUUUGUUUAAAAUCAGAGCUGGACUUUCUACAACUGUAGUUUAUUUUCAUCGUUCAGUAUUGAAACUUGUAUUUCUCUGAACAACAUUAGCAAGUGGUCUGUCUCAUUAUGCAACCUCUCCUGUUUAGUAUGUUAUUCCAUCAACUAUGUUUGUUUAGUUUAAUAUGUACAUCUAUGUUUUCUUUCAUAUUUUUUACUAAGGAUGCAUUUUCAUUGAAAUUCUAAAUGAUAAUGUACAAGGGGCCUAAAUGAAGAACUAAUUUGACAAUGACUGAACUGAGAGUGAAAUUCAUCAGUUGGUCCAUAUAAGAAAACCAAAAGGGAUGACACGAUGGAACCUUACUUUCUUGAAAUACUCCGAGAUAUCUCUUUUCAACUUUGCCAUAAGUUUCAGAUGAAUAGAGAUGGAGGCAAGCAAUAGUAACAAAGCAGGGGAUCUUUACUUCCUCUUUGAAUUUGUCUACUAUCUUAAUUUUGGAAGUGGGGUGUAAGGAACCCAGUUAGGGUUAGGGUUGCUGAGAUGAUUCAGGUAGCUUAUUGGUAAGAAAUGCUAGGGUUUGGGUGUUUAGGGUCACCUAGGAUUUUGGGUAUGUAGUGUUUUCAAGAGGGUUCCUGAUGAUGUGGAUGUUAGGGUCUUUGGGAAGGAUUUUGGUAUGUGAGAGUUUUUGUAUGAAUGAUUGAUGAUUGCAUGGGAUGUGACUUAUUUUGAGGGAGCACCACCUCCAAGAAAAUCAGAGUGAGCAAAAGAAUGAGACUACUUCAAGGGAGUCUCCACCUCCAAGAGAAAUAGAAAGAAUAGAUAGAAUUAACAAGAAACAAAUGCAACAAUUGGAUUCUUCUUCAUUAUCAUUAGUGAUGAUUACAUUGUCCUAUUUAAUACUACUAAUGCCUUACUCUCAUUGGUUACACAUGGCUUAUUCCUAUUGGAUCAUUAAUUGGGCAUGUGCUUUUAAGAAUAUACAUGUGUUCAAUGUGUUACAUGUGCAUUAACUGUAACUAAUUGUUACCAUUUUCUUUAACAAUCCAAGCAUGUGAUUCAAUUAUGACAGAGCUCAUGUCUGGCUAGCCAAGGCUUCCCCACGUGCAGGACAGUUAGUAGGAGCUUCCCACAAGAUUUGGGAACCAAUGGACAAGCAAGUGCUGAUCUGCAUUUCAAGGCAGAACUAGACUGCCGAUGGAAGCAGUCUGUUUCCCGAUGUCAGUCCAUUUUUGCUAUGGAGUUUUUACUCAUUUCAGCUUUUCUGGAGUUCCUAACAUCGGGUUAGAGUGUAAUUCCUAGAGUCAGACAUGUGGAUUAGGUAGCUUCUGAAUGUGUCGCCAAAAAGAAGCCACUGUCACUUGUUUAAGAAGUGGCUGAAUCUAUUGAUAGAUCAAUAUCUAUGCAACUUUGCUAGUUGAAUUCUAUUACUAGAAGCUGGUCCCAAGCCCAGAUGAAGGAGGAGGGUUAUUGUAGGUAGAAUGUCAACAAAAGAUUAUCUCAAUUCUGAUCAUACCUUAUGAACAUGGAUCCUAUUAUGGGGAAAAAAAAUGAAUACCUUGACUUCUGAGGUUGGGUUCCCUGGUUGAAGUUCCUCUUUUGUUUUGUUGUACCUUUCAAUUACUGACUUCAUGCUGGUAAAGCAGAUUCCAAUUUUAUCAGACAUGGCAGGUUUGUAACAUAUUUUUACAAAAUGGUUGUUGCACAUUUUCAAGAAUCACACAGACACACACAAUCUAUAACUUUAUCCUGCUCAAUAGAUGAAAUUUAACUCUAUUUGCUCUGAAGCGUGUGGUUAAAUUAGGUUAAAUAACAUCUUACAAGGAAAUUCAGCUACAAGCAGGGACAUGUAAUUGAGGCAGAAACCUGAGAUGAGUCUUCUUCUAUAUGCUUCACUCAUUUUUUGGACAGUUGAAUCUAGAUAUGCCUAAGGCUUGUUGUUGUUUAUAUAUUGGCCUAAAUUUUAGAUGUGAUUCAUUUUGCAGAAAUAAAAUAUAAUCUGAGAACUGCACUGGUUUAAUUUUAGUAUGGUUCACCACAUUUUUAGUUAUCUGCCUGCUCUCCCAUCUUAAAUUAGCCGUCUCAUGAUUCUAUAAUUUCCCUGGGAAUUAAAGAAAACAAAUCAAAGUAACUGAUUAAAGUGAUUCUUAAAAAGAAUCUUUGUAUCACCCUGUGUAUUGCAUGUAGAUGCUGUUUAAUGCAAUUUGUAAUGAAAGUUUCAAUUCCAUGAUCAAUAAAAAGAAAUUCAGACAAAAAUUAUGCAUCAAUGAGAAAGUUUCCACUCUGGUGCUAUACCAACACUCUUAAAAAUUCUAGCAUUGUGUAUAUGUUGCACAUGCUUUUAGUGUGGGAUGGUGGUUAUUCUUACAAUCAUGCGCCAAUUAGAGUAAAGCUAGAUAUCUGUAUCACUUUUUUGUUCUCUACAAAAAUAUGGGGAAUAGGGUUGUUAAAAAUGUACUUUGAAAGUUUGUAAUCUAAUUGUGUAAAGGUUGAGCUUGAGUUAGGUGGGUGGAUGCACCGCAGUUUAGAGUGCAUGCAUGAAAAGUAGCUCAACGUAAUCAAGAAAAAUUUCAUCAUUGGUAAACGAAGGAAAUGUCUUAAAGCCAGAUUGUUUUCUGUUAGAAAUCUGCUGCUGAUAUCUGGUUGGUCUAAUUUUAUGACACUAUCUAAAAGAAUUCAAACUUUCGAUAAUGAAGGAUUGAUUACGGGAAAAUACAUAGAUACGAAAAUGCAUCUUAUGGACAAGUCAAGAUCUGAAAAUACAUAGUUAUGAAAAUGCAUCUUAUGGACAAGUCAAGAUCUGUCCUAUAGGAGAAUACAUAGUUAUGAUUGUCACACCUUUCCUAAUGGAACAGCUUCCACUAGUGUGUUAAUCUAUUUCCUGUCUAGAGUUUGACCCAUUCAUAUUUGUACAUGUGAGACGGCCAAAUUAUGAAAAUCCUUGGUGGAGAUCCAUUUGGGGAUGCAAGGAUUGAUUACAGGCUGUCUUCGCCAAGUAUCGAGUCUACAGAGCUAAUUCUCCCAGAGAUAACUGUUGUGAAGUUCCAUUUGUAUGAGUGCUCAGGAAUAUAUAUGAGAAAAUUGGAGAAAUUUUCUGCCGCCCACAGGUGAUUGACAUUUCUUCCAGUUGUUGAUGCAAAUUUUACUCUCUUAAAUAUUUGUGUGCUUGACCAGUAUCAGGUAGGCUUCAGUUAUGUUUUUGUCACUGCCCAUGUCAGAUCUGUUAGCAGGACUAGAUUCGAUGCAAAUUUAACUCUCUUAAAUAUUUGUGUGCUUGACCAGGAUCAGGUAGGCUUCAGUUAUGUUUUUGUCACUGACCAUGUCAGAUAUGUUAGCAGGACUAGAUUCAUGUAGCUGAUCCAAAAAUAUCCAGGAUGUGGGUAGGAUGAUUAUAGUGGCAAUGAUGUGGAAGGAACAUUUUUUGGAUAUGCUUCAAAUUGUCAUGCAGUAACAAUGACGACUGCAAUAAAGAAGACAUUUUAUGGCCAAGUAUGUCAUUUAUGCUGGCAUUCAGUUGGAGAGCUUGGUACUAUUCUUACGCAUUAUUCCUUAUCUAUUACUGUAGAAACAUCCCGACAAUAUCUACAUUGGUUCCACUGGAGCUUGUAUGAUUGAAGUGGAUUGUUUAUAAUGAUUUGCACCAUGAAUAGCAAUGAAAUAUCAAGGUUUCAUUUUGUCAUUCA